UGGGGAAUAUUGCACAAUGGGCGAAAGCCUGAUGCAGCAACGCCGCGUGAGUGAUGAAGGCCUUCGGGUUGUAAAGCUCUGUCUUUUGGGACGAUAAUGACGGUACCAAAGGAGGAAGCCACGGCUAACUACGUGCCAGCAGCCGCGGUAAUACGUAGGUGGCAAGCGUUGUCCGGAUUUACUGGGCGUAAAGGAUGCGUAGGCGGAUUUUUAAGUGAGAUGUGAAAUACCCGGGCUUAACUUGGGUGCUGCAUUUCAAACUGGGAAUCUAGAGUGCGGGAGAGGAGAAUGGAAUUCCUAGUGUAGCGGUGAAAUGCGUAGAGAUUAGGAAGAACACCAGUGGCGAAGGCGAUUCUCUGGACCGUAACUGACGCUGAGGCAUGAAAGCGUGGGUAGCAAACAGGAUUAGAUACCCUGGUAGUCCACGCCGUAAACGAUGUUAGUACUAGGUGUAGGAGGUAUCGACCCCUUCUGUGCCGCAGUUAACACAAUCAAGUACUCCGCCUGGGAAGUACGAUCGCAAGAUUAAAACUU
RNAcentral lists this ribosomal RNA (534 nucleotides) under uncultured bacterium. RNAcentral's name for it is "partial 16S ribosomal RNA". It matches the Rfam family "Bacterial small subunit ribosomal RNA", at positions 355 to 902 of the family's 1533-position model. The record is from RNAcentral.